Molecule: long non-coding RNA, 547 nt
Organism: Cucumis sativus (cucumber)
Lineage: Eukaryota; Viridiplantae; Streptophyta; Magnoliopsida; Cucurbitales; Cucurbitaceae
Exons: 2
Source: RefSeq, a predicted model, not a curated record
AAUGUGUUGUAUAUUGGUGCCAUAUUAUUGUAUGCUAAUUCUGCAUGCUCUGAGUGUGACACCAUGCCAUUCCCAUUCAAUAUCUGAAGCAACAAAUUCAAUUCAAUUAACUUAGUUUUUUCUUCUUCUUCUUCUUCAGAGAGAGCAGCACCUCAGAGGCUGGUGUACCGACGAGCAACACUUCUGGAAAAUCCAUUCCAAAGUCGUGGAGGACGGGGUCAAGAGAAGCAAGCUUCAUGGAAAGGAACUAAGUACACAUACAGAGAGAGUAACUAAUGAUUAAUUCGUGAGGAGGAAUAAUAACAAAAUUCAACAAACUUUUGUAUGUACCGGCCAGUACUUGAAGUAAAUAAAUAAAAUUAAAUGAGUGAAAUGGGUAUGAUUAGGAAUUGGGGUUAUGUACCUCAACUUGAUUUUGCAGGGACUGAACAUAGUUAAUAAUUUCAUCCAGCAUUAAGGCCUUCCCAGUUACCUAUAUGUAAUAUUGAAAUCAAUUAGCUAUAGGGAUCAGAGAUUGAAAUUUAUAAUAAAAAUGGAAUAUUAUGUA